CUUGAGUUCUGGAGAGGUGAGUGGAAUUGCUAGUGUAGAGGUGAAAUUCGUAGAUAUUAGCAGGAACACCAGAGGCGAAGGCGGCUCACUGGACAGAUACUGACGCUGAGGCACGAAAGUGUGGGGAGCAAACAGGAUUAGAUACCCUGGUAGUCCACACCGUAAACGAUGAGAGCUAGUUGUCUGCAAGCAUGCUUGUAGGUGACGCAGCUAACGCAUUAAGCUCUCCGCCUGGGGAGUACGGUCGCAAGAUUAAAACUCAAAGAAAUUGACGGGGGCCCGCAUAAGCGGUGGAGCAUGUGGUUUAAUUCGAAGCAACGCGCAGAACCUUACCUACCCUUGACAUGCCGGUCGCGAUUUCCAGAGAUGGAUUUCUCCAAUUCGGUUGGACCGUGCACAGGUGCUGCAUGGCCGUCGUCAGCUCGUGUCGUGAGAUGUUGGGUUAAGUCCCGCAACGAGCGCAACCCUCACUUUUAGUUGCCAGCAUUUAGUUGGGCACUCUAGAAGAACUGCCGGUGCUAAGCCGGAGGAAGGUGGGGAUGACGUCAGGUCCUCAUGGCCCUUACGGGUAGGGCUACACACGUGCUACAAUGGCGCUGACAGAGGGUUAAUCCCUAAAAGGCGUCUCAGUUCGGAUUGUUCUCUGCAACUC
Molecule: ribosomal RNA, 652 nt
Filed under: uncultured bacterium
Lineage: Bacteria
Description: bacterial SSU rRNA
Rfam family: Bacterial small subunit ribosomal RNA
Source: RNAcentral